Molecule: ribosomal RNA, 497 nt
Filed under: uncultured bacterium
Lineage: Bacteria
Description: partial 16S ribosomal RNA
Rfam family: Bacterial small subunit ribosomal RNA
Source: RNAcentral
GAUGAACGCUGGCGGCGUGCCUAAUACAUGCAAGUCGAGCGAACAGACGAGGAGCUUGCUCCUCUGACGUUAGCGGCGGAAGGGUGAGUAACACGUGGAUAACCUACCUAUAAGACUGGGAUAACUUAGGGAAACCGGAGCUAAUACCGGAUAAUAUAUUGAACCGCAUGGUUCAAUAGUGAAAGACGGUUUUGCUGUCACUUAUAGAUGGAUCCGCGCCGCAUUAGCUAGUUGGUAAGGUAACGGCUUACCAAGGCAACGAUGCGUAGCCGACCUGAGAGGGUGAUCGGCCACACUGGAACUGAGACACGGUCCAGACUCCUACGGGAGGCAGCAGUAGGGAAUCGUCCGCAAUGGGCGAAAGCUUGACGGAGCAACGCCGCGUGAGUGAUGAAGGUCUUCGGAUCGUAAAACUCUGUUAUUAGGGAAGAACAAAUGUGUAAGUAACUAUGCACGUCUUGACGGUACCUAAUCAGAAAGCCACGGCUAACUACGUG